This 466-nucleotide ribosomal RNA is filed under the name uncultured bacterium. RNAcentral's name for it is "partial 16S ribosomal RNA". It matches the Rfam family "Bacterial small subunit ribosomal RNA", at positions 30 to 507 of the family's 1533-position model. The record is from RNAcentral.
CGACCGCUGGCGGCGUGCUUAACACAUGCAAAUCGAACGGAAAGGCCCUGCUUUUGUGGGGUGCUCGAGUGGCGAACGGGUGAGUAACACGUGAGUAACCUGCCCUUGACUUUGGGAUAACUUCAGGAAACUGGGGCUAAUACCGGAUAGGAGCUCCUGCUGCAUGGUGGGGGUUGGAAAGUUUCGGCGGUUGGGGAUGGACUCGCGGCUUAUCAGCUUGUUGGUGGGGUAGUGGCUUACCAAGGCUUUGACGGGUAGCCGGCCUGAGAGGGUGACCGGCCACAUUGGGACUGAGAUACGGCCCAGACUCCUACGGGAGACAGCAGUGGGGAAUAUUGCACAAUGGGCGGAGGCCUGAUGCAGCAACGCCGCGUGCGGGAUGACGGCCUUCGGGUUGUAAACCGCUUUCGCCUGUGACGAAGCGUGAGUGACGGUAAUGGGUAAAGAAGCACCGGCUAACUACGUG